AAUGAACGUUGGCGGCGUGGAUUAGGCAUGCAAGUCGAGCGAGAACCGGAGCAAUCCGGGGAAAGCGGCAAACGGGGUAGUAAUGCAUCGGUACGUGCCCUCGGGUCGGGGAUAGCCAGGGGAAACCCUGAUUAAUACCCGAUAAUCUCGAGAGAGCAAAGGUUUACUGCCGGAGGAGCGGCCGAUGUGGCAUCAGGUAGUUGGCGGGGUAACGGCCCACCAAGCCUUAGACGCCUAGGGGGCGUGAGAGCGCGACCCCCACCACUGGGACUGAGAUACUGCCCAGACACCUACGGGUGGCUGCAGUCGAGAAUCUUCCGCAAUGGGCGAAAGCCUGACGGAGCGACGCCGCGUGCGGGAUGAAGGCCCUUGGGUUGUAAACCGCUGUCAGGGGGGAUGAAAGCCGCAAGGCUUGACAGAGCCCCAGAGGAAGCACGGGCUAAGUUCGUGCCAGCAGCCGCGGUAAGACGGACUGUGCGAACGUUAUUCGGAAUCACUGGGCUUACAGGGUGCGGUA
This 517-nucleotide ribosomal RNA is filed under the name uncultured bacterium. Its description in RNAcentral is "bacterial SSU rRNA". It matches the Rfam family "Bacterial small subunit ribosomal RNA", at positions 28 to 574 of the family's 1533-position model. The record is from RNAcentral.